UGCGGGCCGCGGAGGGCAGGGAUUUUGGUCCCUUUAGGCUCCCGUCGGGCAGCUCUAUAUAAGCGGGAGGCGCGGGCCCCUCCGCCCCUUUUUCUCGGCGAGCCACGCAGGGGCGGGGGUGGAAAUGUGAAUACUGCAAAUGCAAGAGGUUUUCUCCUAGAGCUGAGAAGAAUCAAAAGAUACCAUGGUCCAAGAAGCCUGCAUCCUAGGAAUGAGUUGCUUUUGAGGAGGACAUCACUAAUUUCCUUUGAAAUUGUGUAACAUAAAUGCUGUUGAAGAGCCACAAUCAGAGGUGUCAAAUCAGACGUGCUUGAGGAGCAGUAUGAUGUACCUUCCUGGGCUACAGAAGCAGGGCUGGCCUUACCAUGAGGCGACCUGAGGUGGUGCCAGACUGUGCGGGGGCACCACUAGAACCCAGAGUGUAGAAAAUUGCAUCUGCUGCUGGUGCAUAUGUAUUUUCUCUGAACUAGAUGCACAGAGAUGAUGGAGUUCUGUGCUGGAGGAAGGAGGGCACAAGAGACAUAACAGGCAGGCAGGA
Molecule: long non-coding RNA, 538 nt
Organism: Dermochelys coriacea (leatherback sea turtle)
Lineage: Eukaryota; Metazoa; Chordata; Testudines; Dermochelyidae
Exons: 5
Source: RefSeq, a predicted model, not a curated record